Leptomonas pyrrhocoris is the source of this 76-nucleotide small nucleolar RNA. The record is from RefSeq and is a predicted model, not a curated record. NCBI's taxonomy places the organism in Eukaryota, Euglenozoa, Kinetoplastea, Trypanosomatida, Trypanosomatidae.
UCUUUGCUACAGGUGAUGCGCGCGCUGCGUGCGAGAUGACCUUACUUCUUCCAAACCCCAACCAAGAUCAAUGAGC